AAAUUAAAUUAUUAACGUCGCACAUACACCGUCACAUCCGCUCUGGGUGCCCCUUUGGGGUGAGCGAUGGGGUGUGUGGAGGCCUAAC
This 88-nucleotide small RNA is filed under the name Motiliproteus sp. MSK22-1. Its description in RNAcentral is "t44 RNA". It matches the Rfam family "t44 RNA". Rfam says of the family: This family consists of a number of bacterial RNA genes of between 135 and 170 bases in length. The t44 gene is found between the map and rpsB genes in all species in the full alignment apart from Shigella flexneri. The function of this RNA is unknown. Lineage: Bacteria; Pseudomonadati; Pseudomonadota; Gammaproteobacteria; Oceanospirillales; Oceanospirillaceae. The record is from Rfam by way of RNAcentral.